GUGAUCACUUCAGCAGCACAUAAACUAAAACUGGAACGAUUCAGAGAAGAUUAGCAUGGCCCUUGCACAAGGAUGACAUGCAAAUUCAUGAAGCAUUCCAUUUUUUU
RNAcentral lists this small nuclear RNA (107 nucleotides) under Vicugna pacos (alpaca). The record is from RNAcentral. Lineage: Eukaryota; Metazoa; Chordata; Mammalia; Artiodactyla; Camelidae.